Molecule: transfer RNA, 74 nt
Filed under: bacterium
Lineage: Bacteria
Description: tRNA-Trp
Rfam family: tRNA
About the family: Transfer RNA (tRNA) molecules are approximately 80 nucleotides in length. Their secondary structure includes four short double-helical elements and three loops (D, anti-codon, and T loops).
Source: RNAcentral
GCGGGAUUGGUGUAGUGGCAACAUGCCUCUCUCCAAAAGAGGCGACGGGGGUUCAAUUCCUCCAUCCCGUGCCA